RNAcentral lists this ribosomal RNA (402 nucleotides) under uncultured bacterium. RNAcentral's name for it is "bacterial SSU rRNA". It matches the Rfam family "Bacterial small subunit ribosomal RNA", at positions 28 to 412 of the family's 1533-position model. The record is from RNAcentral.
GACGAACGCUGGCGGCGUGCCUAAUACAUGCAAGUAGAACGCUGAAGAGAGGAGCUUGCUCUUCUUGGAUGAGUUGCGAACGGGUGAGUAACGCGUAGGUAACCUGCCUUGUAGCGGGGGAGUAACUAUUGGAACGAUAGCUAAUACCGCAUAACAAUGGAUGACACAUGUCAUUUAUUUGUAAAGGGGACGAAUUGCUCCACUACAAGAUGGACCUGCGUUGUAUUAGCUAGUAGGUGAGGUAAUGGCUCACCUAGGCGACGAUACAUAGCCGACCUGAGAGGGUGGAUCGGCCACACUGGGACUGAGACACGGCCCAGACUCCUACGGGAGGGCAGCAGUAGGGAAUCUUUCGGGCAAUGGGGGCGAACCCUGACCGAGCAACGCCGCGUGAGUGAAGAA